Molecule: ribosomal RNA, 248 nt
Filed under: uncultured bacterium
Lineage: Bacteria
Description: partial 16S ribosomal RNA
Rfam family: Bacterial small subunit ribosomal RNA
Source: RNAcentral
UAAAGUGGCGACCGGGUGAGUAACACGUGACUAACCUACCUUCCAAAGUGGGGGGAUAACCUCGGGAAACCGGGGCUAAUACCGCAUAACAUCUUUGAAGUGGAAAUUUCGAAGAUCAAAGGAGCAAUUCGCUGGAAGAGGGGGUCGCGGCUGAUUAGCUAGUUGGCGGGGUAAUGGCCCACCAAGGCUUUGAUCGGUAGCCGGCCUGAGAGGGCGCACGGCCACACUGGAACUGAAACACGGUCCAG